RNAcentral lists this ribosomal RNA (582 nucleotides) under uncultured bacterium. RNAcentral describes it as "bacterial SSU rRNA". It matches the Rfam family "Bacterial small subunit ribosomal RNA", at positions 338 to 917 of the family's 1533-position model. The record is from RNAcentral.
CCUACGGGAGGCAGCAGUGAGGAAUAUUGGACAAUGGGCGGGGGCCUGAUCCAGCCAUGCCGCGUGCAGGAAGACUGCCCUAUGGGUUGUAAACUGCUUUUAUACAGGAAGAAUAAGCCUUACGUGUAAGGUGAUGACGGUACUGUAAGAAUAAGGACCGGCUAACUCCGUGCCAGCAGCCGCGGUAAUACGGAGGGUCCGAGCGUUAUCCGGAAUUAUUGGGUUUAAAGGGUCCGUAGGCGGAUGAUUAAGUCAGGGGUGAAAGUUUGCAGCUCAACUGUAAAAUUGCCUUUGAUACUGGUUAUCUUGAGUUGUAUUGAAGUAGGCGGAAUAUGUAGUGUAGCGGUGAAAUGUAUAGAUAUUACAUAGAACACCAAUUGCGAAGGCAGCUUACUAAGUACUAACUGACGCUGAUGGACGAAAGCGUGGGUAGCGAACAGGAUUAGAUACCCUGGUAGUCCACGCCGUAAACGAUGGAUACUAGCUGUUCGGGACCUUGAGUUCUGAGCGGCUAAGCGAAAGUGAUAAGUAUCCCACCUGGGGAGUACGUUCGCAAGAAUGAAACUCAAAGGAAUUGACGGA